CUACGGGAGGCAGCAGUAGGGAAUAUUGCACAAUGGGGGAAACCCUGAUGCAGCAACGCCACGUGUGGGAAGACGCAUUUCGGUGUGUAAACCACUGUCGUGAGGGAAUAAAGCGCAGUUUCGGCUGCGUUGAAUGUACCUCGAAAGGAAGCACCGGCAAACUUCGUGCCAGCAGCCGCGGUAAUACGAGGGGUGCAAGCGUUGUUCGGAAUCACUGGGCGUAAAGGGAGCGCAGGCGGAAGUGCAAGCAAUCUGUACAAUCCCGGGGCCUAACCCCGGUCCUGUAGAUUGGACUGUAUUUCUUGGAUAGUUCAGGGGCAAGCGGAAUUCCUGGUGUAGCGGUGGAAUGCGUAGAGAUCAGGAAGAACACCGAUGGCGAAGGCAGCUUGCUGGGGACUUAUCGACGCUCAUGCUCGAAAGUGCGGGUAGCAAACAGGAUUAGAUACCCGGGUAGUC
This 456-nucleotide ribosomal RNA is filed under the name uncultured bacterium. Its description in RNAcentral is "partial 16S ribosomal RNA". It matches the Rfam family "Bacterial small subunit ribosomal RNA", at positions 339 to 795 of the family's 1533-position model. The record is from RNAcentral.